Molecule: ribosomal RNA, 240 nt
Filed under: uncultured bacterium
Lineage: Bacteria
Description: partial 16S ribosomal RNA
Rfam family: Bacterial small subunit ribosomal RNA
Source: RNAcentral
UCCUACCUACGGGGGGCAGCAGUAGGGAAUCUUCCACAAUGGACGAAAGUCUGAUGGAGCAACGCCGCGUGAGUGAAGAAGGGUUUCGGCUCGUAAAGCUCUGUUGGUAGUGAAGAAAGAUAGAGGGAGUAACUGGCCUUUAUUUGACGGUAAUUACUUAGAAAGUCACGGCUAACUACGUGCCAGCAGCCGCGGUAAUACGUAGGUGGCAAACGUUGUCCGGGUUUAUUGGGCGUAAAG